GAUGAACGCUGGCGGCGUGCCUAACACAUGCAAGUCGAGCGAUUUACUUCGGUAAAGAGCGGCGGACGGGUGAGUAACGCGUGGGUAACCUGCCCUGUACACACGGAUAACAUACCGAAAGGUAUGCUAAUACGAGAUAAUAUGCUUUUAUCGCAUGGUAGAAGUAUCAAAGCUUUUGCGGUACAGGAUGGACCCGCGUCUGAUUAGCUAGUUGGUGAGGUAACGGCUCACCAAGGCGACGAUCAGUAGCCGACCUGAGAGGGUGAUCGGCCACAUUGGAACUGAGACACGGUCCAAACUCCUACGGGAGGCAGCAGUGGGGAAUAUUGCACAAUGGGCGAAAGCCUGAUGCAGCAACGCCGCGUGAGCGAUGAAGGCCUUCGGGUCGUAAAGCUCUGUCCUCAAGGAGGAUAAUGACGGUACUUGAGGAGGAAGCCCCGGCUAACUACGUG
RNAcentral lists this ribosomal RNA (452 nucleotides) under uncultured bacterium. RNAcentral's name for it is "partial 16S ribosomal RNA". It matches the Rfam family "Bacterial small subunit ribosomal RNA", at positions 28 to 507 of the family's 1533-position model. The record is from RNAcentral.